CAGCAGCCACGGGAAUACGGAGGAUCCAAGCGUUAUCCGGAAUCAUUGGGUUUAAAGGGUCCGUAGGCGGUCUUGUAAGUCAGUGGUGAAAGCCCAUCGCUCAACGGUGGAACGGCCAUUGAUACUGCAGGACUUGAAUUAUUGGGAAGUAACUAGAAUAUGUAGUGUAGCGGUGAAAUGCUUAGAGAUUACAUGGAAUACCAAUUGCGAAGGCAGGUUACUACCAAUUGAUUGACGCUGAUGGACGAAAGCGUGGGUAGCGAACAGGAUUAGAUACCCCAGUAGUCCCUGUCUCUUAUAA
RNAcentral lists this ribosomal RNA (301 nucleotides) under uncultured bacterium. RNAcentral describes it as "partial 16S ribosomal RNA". It matches the Rfam family "Bacterial small subunit ribosomal RNA", at positions 509 to 809 of the family's 1533-position model. The record is from RNAcentral.